AGCGAACGCUGGCGGCAGGCUUAACACAUGCAAGUCGAGCGGGCCCUUCGGGGUCAGCGGCAGACGGGUGAGUAACACGUGGGAACGUACCCUUUGGUUCGGAAUAACGCUGGGAAACUAGCGCUAAUACCGGAUACGCCCUUUUGGGGAAAGGCUUGCUGCCGAAGGAUCGGCCCGCGUCUGAUUAGCGAGUUGGUGGGGUAAUGGCCUACCAAGGCGACGAUCAGUAGCUGGUCUGAGAGGAUGAUCAGCCACACUGGGACUGAGACACGGCCCAGACUCCUACGGGAGGCAGCAGUGGGGAAUAUUGGACAAUGGGCGCAAGCCUGAUCCAGCCAUGCCGCGUGAGUGAUGAAGGCCUUAGGGUUGUAAAGCUCUUUUGUCCGGGACGAUAAUGACGGUACCGGAAGAAUAAGCCCCGGCUAACUUCGUG
RNAcentral lists this ribosomal RNA (433 nucleotides) under uncultured bacterium. RNAcentral's name for it is "partial 16S ribosomal RNA". It matches the Rfam family "Bacterial small subunit ribosomal RNA", at positions 29 to 507 of the family's 1533-position model. The record is from RNAcentral.